ACCAACCUGUUGGGGGCUGGUAAGAGAUGUCGGAAUGGAGAGGUAAAGGUGAUUGGGGGCUGGCAGGGGACACCUGAAUGGAGAGGUGACACCCCAGGAGUUGGGACCCGCCUCUUCUGGGAUAGCUUGCGGGCUCAGCAGUGAGCUACGCGGCAAUCCAGGAUGAGGUGCUGGGGAGGCUCCGCUAAUGGGUUGUUGGCACCGCCUUCGGGGUGGAUCCUUGUAGCCUUCAUGACCCGCCCUCAGAUUAUAUAACGGGCUGAGAACACAGGAUCGGGGGAUCCUCCACAAUAAAGAGCAUACACCACACUCGCGUCCUGUCUGGUCCUUGAGCCCACCUUUCCCCCAGGGUGGGUCCGGAGACGUCCGAAGCCUAGCUCCCAGGGAAGGAGACGUGCCUGAAGGGCCCAGCCCGGGUCAAGUGGCGCCCGAACAGGGACUUAAGUUCCUCUUCGGCGACCCCGCCAGGUACGGGGUUAUCUCUUUGUGUCUCCACAGAAUGAAAAGGACAAUGAUAAAGGAAGAUGGAUCCCUGUCCGGUGGGCCAGAGAACUUGAGAAAAAAGAAGAAAAGGCGUACCAGGAGAAGGAGACACAAGAGGGGGCGCCGCGGGGACUGCCGUGUGUGCCGCCAGAGGAGAUAUAGAAACGAACCUUCUUGCGUUUCCACUCCGGUUAUUUUCUUUCCACAGGCACGGGAGGGAUAAUGAGGCCUGAAAUAUGGCUCUCUCUUUUGCUGGUCGUUUGGGAAUGUCCAACCCCUGUGAUCAACCUACACCAAUUUAACACUACCUGGGUCUCGUUGGAGACAGAGACACCUAUGUACUGGGCACUAACACCACAUCUGCCCAUUUUUCAACUCAUGACGUGGAAUCACGAGGCAAGCCCACUUUUCCUCUUUGGCAACGCAUCUUGGUUAACGGGUGACUUGGGACUGGCGGUUCCUAUUAUCUCCAAAACUGGAAUGAACGUUACUUGGACUUCUGCGGCGUUGCCUCUGUGCUUAUCCCCUUCAAAUAUCUCGAAUAGCAGCAUUUCUCAACUGUGCUAUCCUCUUUCAAAUUGGUCUAUUUCCCAACCUUCCUUUCUAGAAUCAGAGUUAUUGAAUGCUACUUAUGGUUCCUUAAACAUAACUCUCGCCUCUUUGAUUCGCAAUUUCAGUAAUAACCAUACUGUUACUACUUCGCUACCCCCUUGUCCACUUACCGCCCCUCAUAUAUUCGAACCCCUUCAUGCUUGUAGUACAGGAAACUUUAGUAGGUUGAACAAUACUAACGAAUCUAUAUGGUUUGCCGAUAAUUAUCCACAAACUUCUAUACUUCCUGCACCCAUCCCCUUU
Molecule: non-coding RNA, 1338 nt
Organism: Phascolarctos cinereus (koala)
Lineage: Eukaryota; Metazoa; Chordata; Mammalia; Diprotodontia; Phascolarctidae
Source: RefSeq, a predicted model, not a curated record